Molecule: ribosomal RNA, 468 nt
Filed under: uncultured bacterium
Lineage: Bacteria
Description: partial 16S ribosomal RNA
Rfam family: Bacterial small subunit ribosomal RNA
Source: RNAcentral
GACGAACGCUGGCGGCGUGCUUAACACAUGCAAGUCGAACGGAAAGGCCCUGCUUUUGUGGGGUGCUCGAGUGGCGAACGGGUGAGUAACACGUGAGUAACCUGCCCUUGACUUUGGGAUAACUUCAGGAAACUGGGGCUAAUACCGGAUAGGAGCUCCUGCUGCAUGGUGGGGGUUGGAAAGUUUCGGCGGUUGGGGAUGGACUCGCGGCUUAUCAGCUUGUUGGUGGGGUAGUGGCUUACCAUGGCUUUGACGGGUAGCCGGCCUGAGAGGUUGACCGGCCACAUUGGGACUGAGAUACGGCCCAGACUCCUACGGGAGGCAGCAGUGGGGAAUAUUGCACAAUGGGCGGAAGCCUGAUGCAGCAACGCCGCGUGCGGGAUGACGGCCUUCGGGUUGUAAACCGCUUUCGCCUGUGACGAAGCGUGAGUGACGGUAAUGGGUAAAGAAGCACCGGCUAACUACGUG